UUUAUGUUUACAUAUUUAGUGAUUUGAUGGUUUCUGAUGGCGUGGACGGUGGUAAUUUAAAGAUUAGAUAGUUAAUAUUAAAUUAGUAUUUUUGUGUGUCAAAUACAAUCCUCCAAAGAUGAUGCAAUUCAUGUUAUUGUUCAGCCGUCAAGGAAAAUUACGGCUACAAAAAUGGUAUGUAGCACACCCAGAUAAAUUGAAGAAAAAAAUCACGAGGGAAUUGAUCACAACUAUCCUUGCUAGAAAGCCUAAAAUGUCGAGUUUUCUUGAGUGGAAAGAUGUGAAAGUUGUCUACAAAAGAUAUGCUAGUUUAUAUUUCUGUUGUGCCAUAGAACAAAAUGAUAAUGAGCUACUAACGUUGGAAAUUAUUCAUAGAUAUGUAGAAUUAUUAGACAAAUACUUUGGAAGUGUUUGCGAGCUGGAUAUUAUAUUUAACUUUGAAAAGGCGUACUUUAUACUGGAUGAGCUUCUAGUUGGUGGAGAAAUACAAGAAACAAGUAAGAAAAAUGUUUUAAAGGCCAUCGCAGCACAGGAUUUACUGCAGGAGGAUGAAGCUGUUGAAGGUGCUCUACGGGAAAUAGGGCUUUUGUAAGCGCAUCUACUGUUGUGUGUCCCUCCUACAUCACCAAACUGAACAUCGAGAUCACCAACUUGCCAACCAAAUCAUCUGCCUGACGAUGCCAUCGCCCAUCUCAACUUAUUUCGUAUUAAAAUUUGAAAAAAAAAAAACAAAAACUGAAAUUCCAUUAGAAUACAAACUACCUGCCAAAAUAUGUGCAUUUUUUGCAUUUUAAUUGCAUUGUCUGCGUAUAAAAAUCGUCAUAUUUUUGUAUAAACUUUAUGUUUAAGAAAUGAUAGAAAUAUAUAAGUAUAUUUUGCCACUAAAACUAGUUAAUUAAGAUUGAACGAUAGACUAAUAUGUAUAUUGUGAUAAAAGCGAUCAAUUACCAACCAUGUGGCUAUAGUUAUAGGAUUUAAUAUAUUGAUGGCAAUAAAAAUCAUAUAACUUUAAUAAAUAAAACAUAUAGGAAAAUAUUCUAGUUAUUCUUUUAAUACUAACUAUUUUUUAAGCUUGUAUCCAAACACUUUUUUGCACUUUUUUGUAUUUAUUAAGUGUUGUAAUUAUUUCAAUUAAUAUAACUGAUUAAUGAGUCAUAUGAAAGGGAUUUUGAUCAUCAUUUGAAGCUGCCAGAAGAUUUUAUUUACGAAUUAGGAAGAAACUCCUCAGGGAUUUUUUGAAGAUCAUGGGCUUGGAUAAUCAAUACUUUAAAAAUAUUCUACAUCCCACGACCAAUUACCUGUUGGAGAGGUUGUUCCAUCACACUCAUCUCUUAUUACUUUUUAUUUAAUAAAAUACCUAGGUACUUAAUAAAUUCUUCAUUUUUUAAAGCAUAUGAAUUUUAUAAAAGUAAGCUUUUUGAAAUUCAAAUUAGUUCCCAGUUAUAAAGAUACUAUGUUCAUUAUAAUUAAGUAAAUAAUGUAGGAAAUAUUUUUACGUAUUGAUGAUAUUAAUUAGAUUAAAACCCGUGAGUAAGCUGUGUGGUACUUAAUAGACUCUUUAUGAAUUAUUAAUACUUUAAAGUUGAUCUUUUUUUUUGUUAAUGUUCUUAUGAUAAUAAAAUUAUAUAAUCUGUACUUAAUUAAUGAUAAAAAAAUAUGCGAAAACAAUAAUUAAUUAAAUAUUAAGUAACUUAUUAAAGAAUGGAUAUAAUCUAUUUAUUGUGAAAUUUGUGAAUUCUGGUAAGAUCAAAAUGUAUUAAAAUAUAAAAAAAAAACAUGGUUUAUGCUCCGUCCACAACGUAAUGUAUGAUAAUACAUAAUAAUAUGAAUAAAAUUCUCUGUAGAAGUA
RNAcentral lists this unclassified non-coding RNA (1849 nucleotides) under Chelonus insularis. RNAcentral's name for it is "aP-1 complex subunit sigma-2, transcript variant X1". The record is from RNAcentral. Lineage: Eukaryota; Metazoa; Arthropoda; Insecta; Hymenoptera; Braconidae.